CCUACGUGAGGCAGCAGUGGGGAAUAUUGCACAAUGGGGGAAACCCUGAUGCAGCGACGCCGCGUGAGUGAAGAAGUAAUUCGUUAUGUAAAGCUCUAUCAGCAGGGAAGAAAAUGACGGUACCUGAGUGAGAAGCCCCGGCUAACUACGUGCCAGCAGCCGCGGUAAUACGUAGGGGGCAAGCGUUAUCCGGAUUUACUGGGUGUAAAGGGAGCGUAGACGGCAGUGCAAGUCUGGAGUGAAAGGCGGGGGCUCAACCCCCGGACUGCUCUGGAAACUGUACGGCUGGAGUGCAGGAGAGGUAAGUGGAAUGCCUAGUGUAGCGGUGAAAUGCGUAGAGAUUAGGAGGAACACCAGUGGCGAAGGCGGCUUACUGGACUGUAACUGACGGUGAGGCUCGAAAGCGUGGGGAGCAAACAGGAUUAGAUACCCUUGUAGUC
This 440-nucleotide ribosomal RNA is filed under the name uncultured bacterium. RNAcentral describes it as "partial 16S ribosomal RNA". It matches the Rfam family "Bacterial small subunit ribosomal RNA", at positions 338 to 795 of the family's 1533-position model. The record is from RNAcentral.